Molecule: long non-coding RNA, 1611 nt
Organism: Oreochromis aureus
Lineage: Eukaryota; Metazoa; Chordata; Actinopteri; Cichliformes; Cichlidae
Source: Ensembl
UCAACGUGGACAUGAUGUUACUCUGUCUUGUAAAAAUGUGAUACAAGGUCAGCAUAACUGUAACAGUACUGUCUGGAUCGUCAGUGAUUCAAGCAGCUCAGUAACACUCUUUGACCUUGGGCAGAAAAAACAAGUCAAACCUAAAUCAGACAGACUGAGUCUUUCUGCAGACUGUUCUCUGGUUAUAAAGAAGGUCACAGAUCAGGAUGUUGGUCGUUACACCUGCAGACAGUACAAAACAGAAGGAGGACCACACGAAGGUCCAGACUUUAUGAUUCAUCUGUCUGUUAUUAACAGUGAAGAUGUGAAAACGACAACAAAAUCAACAAUUAAACCAAAAUUAAAAAUAACAAAUACAUGGACAACAAAAGAGGAAGUAAAGACAUCGCUGACAACAACAUCAAAUCAACCAGACGAUUGUCUGUAUUUGCUGAGAUGCAUCAUUGUGUCUGUGGGUUUAGCAGCACUCUUAAUAUCUGCUGUUACAGUCAACAUGUGGACAAAAACUAAAGGAGCUUAAUGAUGAGGGUGAAGAUGGAGUGAACUAUGAAAACAUUGGAGACUCUUCUGCUUCUGUCAGACUCCACUGUGUGUGUGUGUGUGUGUGUGUGUGUGUGUGGCUGGGUCUAAGUCUGAGACUUGCUGAGCUCUGUGGGACAUUGUUAUGAUGGGUGAGGGUUGCUCCUCCCCACCACUCCCUGCUGGUCACUGUCCUUGAGAACUUUUAGGAACUCUUUCUGGGGCCUCCCUCCUCCUUCUGCACAUGGUUGUCAUCUGGACGUGUGGGCUUGGGUCUCAAGUACUCCUGGGGUGCUUUGGAUGGCCCUGCUGAACUGGAUUGUUCCUUGUCUACUUCUGGGUCCAGGGGUGUUGUUGUGGCCUCGGACCCUCAUUAUUAAGUCCGUUUUGUGACACACACACACACACACACACACACACACACACACACACACACACACACACACACACACUUAUAGCAAAAUUGACCAUGUACAUGUGUGUCUUUGUAUUUUCCUGAUGUGCUGUUUGCUUUUUAUAUAUUUUCUUACAAUUUUCUUACAGGUGCAACAGUUGGUGAUCUGCUGAGUUUAACUAUGACUGCUUCGUACUUUUAUUUGUCUCUUUUCUAAGAUUUUCUCUGCUUUUUAUUUUUUGUGUCACUCUCUUUUCCCCUGUCUUCUCUUUACCCCUUCUUACUUUUCAUUGCCUGUCAGCUCUUGUAUUGCUAAAUUACACAUAAACAAAGUGAAUACGAAUGAAAAUAAAUAAAAGAAAAAAAGAAAGAAAAACUAAGAAUGCAAGGCUACAGACAUUUCAUAUUGCUCCUUUGGGCAAAACAAAUGAGUUUGGCUCAACAGAGCAUUCAGAUCAUGUUUCUCCUGUCAGAAAAGAGGUUUCAAAAAAGGAACAAAAAAAAUUUUGAUUUUAUCUCAUGUUUAGCUAAAACCUUUUUCAUGUGCAGUUAGAUUUGUUUUUAGAUAAAUCUAACUUAAAACAAUAUUUUAUCCUUCAUUUAGUUAUGAUAAACAGGAUCUUUUGUUGUGUAAAUCUGCAGCUGCUGAUGUUUACUGAAGGUAAAACAGUGAGAUCAGAAUCACAGGUUUUUUUAUU